This 860-nucleotide ribosomal RNA is filed under the name uncultured bacterium. Its description in RNAcentral is "SSU rRNA". It matches the Rfam family "Bacterial small subunit ribosomal RNA", at positions 524 to 1381 of the family's 1533-position model. The record is from RNAcentral.
UACGGAGGGUGCAAGCGUUACUCGGAAUCACUGGGCGUAAAGAGCGUGUAGGCGGGUAUAUAAGUCAGAAGUGAAAUCCAAUAGCUCAACUAUUGAACUGCUUUUGAAACUGUAUACCUAGAAUGUGGGAGAGGUAGAUGGAAUUUCUGGUGUAGGGGUAAAAUCCGUAGAGAUCAGAAGGAAUACCGAUUGCGAAGGCGAUCUACUGGAACAUUAUUGACGCUGAGACGCGAAAGCGUGGGGAGCAAACAGGAUUAGAUACCCUGGUAGUCCACGCCCUAAACGAUGUACACUAGUUGUUGUGAGGCUCGACCUUGCAGUAAUGCAGUUAACACAUUAAGUGUACCGCCUGGGGAGUACGGUCGCAAGAUUAAAACUCAAAGGAAUAGACGGGGACCCGCACAAGCGGUGGAGCAUGUGGUUUAAUUCGACGAUACACGAAGAACCUUACCUGGACUUGACAUAGUAAGAACUUUCUAGAGAUAGAUUGGUGUCUGCUUGCAGAAACUUAUAUACAGGUGCUGCACGGCUGUCGUCAGCUCGUGUCGUGAGAUGUUGGGUUAAGUCCCGCAACGAGCGAAACCCUCGUCCUUAGUUGCUAACAGUUCGGCUGAGAACUCUAAGGAGACUGCCUACGCAAGUAGGAGGAAGGUGAGGACGACGUCAAGUCAUCAUGGCCCUUACGUCCAGGGCUACACACGUGCUACAAUGGGGUAUACAAAGAGCAGCAAUACGGUGACGUGGAGCAAAUCUCAAAAAUAUCUCCCAGUUCGGAUUGUAGUCUGCAACUCGACUACAUGAAGUUGGAAUCGCUAGUAAUCGUAGAUCAGCUAUGCUACGGUGAAUACGUUCCCGGGUCU